Molecule: ribosomal RNA, 222 nt
Filed under: Triticum aestivum (bread wheat)
Lineage: Eukaryota; Viridiplantae; Streptophyta; Magnoliopsida; Poales; Poaceae
Description: partial small subunit ribosomal RNA
Source: RNAcentral
AUGAUAGCCUGUAUCACUGAUGGCCUUCCAUUGGCGGAGUGCUUAGAUGGUGGUUAUGUGAAGGAUGUUGUCUUCUACAAGCAGCAAGAAAAAUUGUUGUUCAAAAACAUAUCUAAAGGCCAACAUGAAUCAUCAAGACUGUCAACUGAAACUGGACCAUACUGUUCCAGGUCAAGGUAUGUAUUUACAUUUUUUGCUUUCAGCAAGAUGAGGAUAAUGUGA